This 390-nucleotide long non-coding RNA is filed under the name Dermacentor andersoni. RNAcentral describes it as "uncharacterized LOC126531422". Lineage: Eukaryota; Metazoa; Arthropoda; Arachnida; Ixodida; Ixodidae. The record is from RNAcentral.
AACCACUUCAUCUUUUCGAUUAGCUUCAUUAUCAACUUCCCGCCGCGGUACCUAUGGCGUUGCGUUGCAGGGCUCGACAUCGCGAGGGCGACUUUCUCUGUCUGCUUCUUCAGGUCCUUUCUAACAACACUUAAUCUUCGAAGAACAGUCGUGCACAUGCACAUGAACAGAAUUAGAAGCAAGAGCAUGGGCAACGUAGCGCAUCCUUACUCCGACAGUAUAGGCCGGUACAAGGUGGUGAAAAUGCACUCCCCAUAAGGCCGAUGUGGGUGGAAGUAAAUUUACCUCGCAUCACCUGGACAGCUUCGGAGCAUACGUUUUACGCGUAUUCAAAUUCAUGAAUAAUGUCCCUUGUGCGGACGAAUACAACGGAGUCAAAUGGUGAACACA